CGAGUGAAGCGGCAACAGCUCAAAUUUGAAAUCUGGCUUCGGCCCGAGUUGUAAUUUGCAGAGGAAGCUUUAGGCGCGGCACCAUCUGAGUCCCCUGGAACGGGGCGCCAUAAGAGGGUGAGAGCCCCGUAUAGAUGGACGCUAAGCCUGUGUAAAGCUCCUUCGACGAGUCGAGUAGUUUGGGAAUGCUGCUCAAAAUGGGAGGUAAAUUUCUUCUAAAGCUAAAUACCGGCCAGAGACCGAUAGCGCACAAGUAGAGUGAUCGAAAGAUGAAAAGCACUUUGAAAAGAGGGUUAAAUAGCACGUGAAAUUGUUGAAAGGGAAGCGCUUGUGACCAGACUUGCGCCGGGCUGAUCAUCCGGUGUUCUCACCGGUGCACUCUGCCCGGCUCAGGCCAGCAUCGGUUUUCGCGGGGGGAUAAAGGCCCUGGGAACGUAGCUCCUCCGGGAGUGUUAUAGCCCAGGGUGUAAUGCCCUCGCGGGGACCGAGGUUCGCGC
This 497-nucleotide ribosomal RNA is filed under the name Chaetomium sp. Its description in RNAcentral is "partial large subunit ribosomal RNA". It matches the Rfam family "Eukaryotic large subunit ribosomal RNA", at positions 90 to 598 of the family's 3401-position model. The record is from RNAcentral. Lineage: Eukaryota; Fungi; Ascomycota; Sordariomycetes; Sordariales; Chaetomiaceae.